CCAAGUUUUCAAAGGGAAAAAAAAAUACACACGAUAUUCAUUGUCAACAUAUUUUACUAAACUAACUGAAAUUCAGGAAAUCUAGUACAAAACGGUAAUAUCCUAGAAAUGAAGUACUUAACAGUACUAAAGCAUCAACUAUACAUUCAGUGCAUCAACCAUUCAGGAAAUCUAGUACAAGUUUACAAUAUUUUAUUAACAUUAGUGAAGAACAAGACCAUGAACAAGUCGAACACAAGAAAGCCCUUGAGUGGUGUACGCAUUCUCUGCCUCCUUCCUAUCCCGUUGCUCUCUCUAUUUGUUUUUAACAUCUCUUCCCUUGGAUGCUGCUGAAGUUGGCACGGUAGCAACAAGUGUUAGUACAAGAACUUUAACAACGUCAAUUUUCUCAAAGAAAAGCUAAUAGAAGCCAAGGAGGUAACAUUGUAGAAAUUAUGCACAAAACUACAUUAAUGUAGCAUUCUGAUAGUUAGACAACAAUUGUAAAUAUAUAAGUUGAUUUAUCUGCAUGGAAUACUCAAAUCUACACUAAAUAACGAAUUUAAAAUUGAAACAAUAUGAUGGGAAUAAGUUUCUGAACUAAGAAAAUCCAUGCUUCCCUAGCCUAAGCCUGGUCUAGUCAAUGAUUUUUGCAACUUUCUAUUUAAUUGUCUCCCUAUAAUUCCACAUUGUUCUUCAAAUGAACCAGUUUAGACUUGUCACAAUAAGGUGUAAGCACAAAAAACUG
This 727-nucleotide long non-coding RNA is filed under the name Olea europaea subsp. europaea. The record is from RNAcentral. Lineage: Eukaryota; Viridiplantae; Streptophyta; Magnoliopsida; Lamiales; Oleaceae.